Molecule: unclassified non-coding RNA, 2313 nt
Filed under: Octopus sinensis (East Asian common octopus)
Lineage: Eukaryota; Metazoa; Mollusca; Cephalopoda; Octopoda; Octopodidae
Description: sodium/hydrogen exchanger 1, transcript variant X1
Source: RNAcentral
AGGAUUAAAUGUAGAUACGGCAUGACAACCUCCCCCACAACCAAGAUAUUUUUCUCAUUAUCACUUUUCUCUUCCAAAGAAAUAUCUUAUUAAGAAACAGUCACUGUGGCAGACGACAGACAGCAAACGGCAGGCGAUCUCGUACCGGCCAUUAAUCUAUCGUCUGCUUGCGGAAUUCACUGAACAACCGACUCAGGUUUAACCUAUUUUCUACAUUAGUUAUUUGCAAUGUAUUUUACAUGGCAUGCGUUAAUCUGCCUGAUUUUCCUGGCUAAAAUAUCGACAUCUGUAAAUAUAACCUUAACAAAUGCGACUCCGAAUGGAAACAACAAACUUUUGUCAACGAUCCUUGAUUCAAGCGUAUCAAAUACUUCACCAGCCAAAGUGAAUCCAAACUUGCAAUAUUUUACUACCAACAAAUUUAUAUCGGCUAUGCAAACGAACCCUGGAAAUUUUACAACCAAAGUAUUCAGUGCUUCCUCACAGACAAACAACAAGGUCCCACCACAAACACAGAGCUCCAAUAAUUCAGUUUCCCAAACGACUCCUUUCCAGCAGACAUCUGAUCCAGUGACUUUGCUGGGAAAUGGAAGUUCCAACAGCGAGAUGACCACAUCAGGACAAAACCUCAAUAAAACGGUCAGAAGUAUCAUCAUUAGCCAUCAGAUCCACCUUGUUCAGUUUAACAUUCACCAUACUUCGGUCAUUCUAUACAUUGCUUGCACAACUUUAGCUGCUGUCUUCCUGGCUGUCGGUUUCCAUCAUUGCCACAGACUGGCCAGGUACAUACCCGAAUCAUGUUUCUUGUUGUGCUUAGGAAUAGCAUUUGGCUGCGUUAUAAGAUUUACCUCACUUGAUGAACUUAUACCUGAAACAUUUUCACCAGAUAUAUUUUUCCUGGUCUUACUUCCUCCUGUUAUUCUGGGAGCUUCCUAUAGUCUGAACAAUCGGAUUUUCUAUGAUAAUCUUGGUGUUGUUCUUCUAUUUGCUGUUCUUGGCACAGCAGUGGCUUGUUUUAUAAUUGCACCGCUAUUGUAUGGUCUGUCAUUAACACCAGCCUUAAAUCUUCCAAAAGAUCAUCUGCUCACACAAAUAUUUCUGUUUUCUGCCCUUAUUGUUGCAGUGGACCCUGUUGCAGUUUUGGCUGUGUUUUCUGAAUUGGGAGUCAAUAAACCUUUGCAUAUUGUGGUCUUUGGAGAAUCCCUUUUAAAUGAUGGUGUCAGUGUGGUUCUGUACCGAGUUAUGGACAACUUCCAUCAGAUGCCGGAAAUUACCGGUAAAGAUAUUGGUUUCGGCUUCCUCAAGUUCUUGGUCAGUGCUGGAGUUAGUUCCUUGAUGGGUUCUUUGAUUGGCAUUUUCUCCACAGUGGCCUGCAAGUUCACCUAUGUCAAACAUGUGUUGGAACCAGCCAUCCUUAUAAUUACGGCCUACCUGUCCUACGUCUUAGCAGAGUCGUUUGAAUUGUCGGGAAUUAUAUGUAUGAUAGUAUGUGGCCUAAUCCAAGCUCAAUAUGCCUUCCACAAUAUCAACCCUAAAUCACGAACUAAUUUAAAAUUCAUCAUCAAAACAAUAGGGCUGGCAGCAGAAUUAGUGAUAUUCAUAUUCUUGGGCAUUUCUGUAGCUCGGACCAGACAUGUAUGGAAUGCUGGUUUUAUUAUCUGGAGUCUGGUGGCUUGCAUCUUCUCAAGGACACUGAUUACCCUUGUCUUUUCCUAUUUUAUCAAUAAAUUCCAUGGUGAAAGAAUGAAAAUUUUCUCUCUCAAAGAACAGCUAGUCAUGUCGUACGGAGGCCUCCGCGGUGGCGUGGCAUUCUCCUUAGCACUACAACUUUCUGAGGAACACGUAACUCUACGUGGUAUGUUCCUCACAACCGUAUUGAUGAUUAUACUUUUCAAUGUUGUCAUCCAGGGAAUUUCUAUACGUCCCCUGAUAAAUAUACUAAAAGUUAAACUGGAGGAGAAGGCAAAGAAAAACCUACUCUGUACCAUCAAUCACCAGUUGACUGACAGCAUGCUGCAACUGGUGGAGAAGAUAUCUGGACAUUCUGGGAAGAAUGUAUGGAGGGUAAAAAAAACUAGAGAAAUUCGAACUGACUUACAUUCAACGAUGUCUUUUGAAAGAGCCACACCCAACUGUUCUUAAGAUUGGAGAUGUCAACACCAAGAUUGCCAUCAGGAAUGUCUACAGUUCAAUGAGUUCCUUGGCAUCCCAGUCACAGAUUGAGGAACGAUAUGUCAGGGACAGAUAUACAAGUUUAGCGCCGGUUCAGUAUGAAUUAAAUGUGAGAAGUGAGCGACCUGGGAAAACUUCCAU